UUAAAUGAAUUGACGGGGAGCACCACAACGGGUGGAGCUUGCGGUUUAAUUGGAUUCAACGCCGGAAAUCUUACCGGGACCGACAGCAAUAUGAAGGCCAGGCUGAAGACUUUGCCGGAUUAGCUGAGAGGUGGUGCAUGGCCGUCGUCAGUUCGUACUGUGAAGCAUCCUGUUAAGUCAGGCAACGAGCGAGACCCACGCCCACAGUUGCCAGCGUACUCUCUGGAGUGACGGGUACACUGUGGGGACCGCCGCUGCUAAAGCGGAGGAAGGAAUGGGCAACGGUAGGUCAGUAUGCCCCGAAUAUCCUGGGCUACACGCGAGCUACAAUGGUUGGUACAAUGGGUAUCUACCCCGAAAGGGGACGGGAAUCUCCUAAAACCAAUCUUAGUUCGGAUUGAGGGCUGCAACUCGCCCUCAUGAAGCUGGAAUCCGUAGUAAUCGCGUUUCAACAGAACGCGGUGAAUACGUCCCUGCUCCUU
RNAcentral lists this ribosomal RNA (482 nucleotides) under uncultured Methanosaeta sp. RNAcentral's name for it is "bacterial SSU rRNA". It matches the Rfam family "Archaeal small subunit ribosomal RNA", at positions 856 to 1338 of the family's 1478-position model. Lineage: Archaea; Methanobacteriati; Methanobacteriota; Methanomicrobia; Methanotrichales; Methanotrichaceae. The record is from RNAcentral.